This 433-nucleotide ribosomal RNA is filed under the name uncultured bacterium. RNAcentral describes it as "partial 16S ribosomal RNA". It matches the Rfam family "Bacterial small subunit ribosomal RNA", at positions 29 to 507 of the family's 1533-position model. The record is from RNAcentral.
AACGAACGCUGGCGGCAUGCCUAACACAUGCAAGUCGAACGAGACCUUCGGGUCUAGUGGCGCACGGGUGCGUAACGCGUGGGAACCUGCCCUUAGGUUCGGAAUAACUCCCCGAAAGGGGUGCUAAUACCGGAUAAUGUCUUCGGACCAAAGAUUUAUCGCCUUUGGAUGGGCCGGCGUUGGAUUAGCUAGUUGGUAGGGUAAAAGCCUACCAAGGCGUCGAUCCAUAGCUGGUCUGAGAGGAUGAUCAGCCACACUGGGACUGAGACACGGCCCAGACUCCUACGGGAGGCAGCAGUGGGGAAUAUUGGACAAUGGGCGAAAGCCUGAUCCAGCAAUGCCGCGUGAGUGAUGAAGGCCUUAGGGUUGUAAAGCUCUUUUACCCGGGAUGAUAAUGACAGUACCGGGAGAAUAAGCACCGGCUAACUCCGUG